RNAcentral lists this non-coding RNA (171 nucleotides) under Ditylum brightwellii. The record is from RNAcentral. Lineage: Eukaryota; Bacillariophyta; Thalassiosirophyceae; Lithodesmiales; Lithodesmiaceae.
CAGUCUGUCUUAAUCCCAGCAGGUCUCAAAAUACUGCGUGGUGUGAUCAUCAGUGAUGUUGGCCUUCGGCCUAUCUGAAAUUGCCAAAAUCAGUAUUCAAUCAAUUUUAACAUAUUUCAAUCUUUGCCAACACGAUUUACUUCCGUCUAAAAGAGAAAGGAUAGAGAUAGG